This 253-nucleotide ribosomal RNA is filed under the name uncultured bacterium. RNAcentral's name for it is "partial 16S ribosomal RNA". It matches the Rfam family "Bacterial small subunit ribosomal RNA", at positions 524 to 776 of the family's 1533-position model. The record is from RNAcentral.
UACGAAGGGGGCUAGCGUUGUUCGGAAUUACUGGGCGCAAAGCGCACGUAGGCGGGCUCUUAAGUCAGGGGUGAAAUCCCGGGGCUCAACCUCGGAACUGCCUUUGAUACUGUGAGUCUUGAGACCGGAAGAGGUGAGUGGAAUUCCUAGUGUAGAGGUGAAAUUCGUAGAUAUUAGGAAGAACACCAGCGGCGAAGGCGGCUCACUGGUCCGGUUCUGACGCUGAGGUGCGAAAGCGUGGGGAGCAAACAGG